RNAcentral lists this ribosomal RNA (429 nucleotides) under Verrucomicrobiota bacterium. RNAcentral describes it as "Verrucomicrobia bacterium partial 16S ribosomal RNA". It matches the Rfam family "Bacterial small subunit ribosomal RNA", at positions 355 to 776 of the family's 1533-position model. The record is from RNAcentral. Lineage: Bacteria; Pseudomonadati; Verrucomicrobiota.
UAGGGAAUCUUCCGCAAUGGACGAAAGUUUGACGGAGCAACGCCGCGUGAGUGAAGAAGGAUUUCGGUUCGUAAAACUCUGUUGUUAGGGAAGAAAAAAUGUAUAGUAACUAUAUACAAAAGAGACGGUACCUAACCAGAAAGCCACGGCUAACUACGUGCCAGCAGCCGCGGCAAUACGUAGGUGGCAAGCGUUGUCCGGAAUUAUUGGGCGUAAAGCGCGCGCAGGUGGUUUAGAAAGUCUGAUGUGAAAGCCUACGGCUCAACCGUGGAGGGUCAUUGGAAACUAAUAAACUUGAGUGCAGGAGAGAAAAGUGGAAUUCCUAGUGUAGCGGUGAAAUGCGUAGAGAUUAGGAGGAACACCGGUGGCGAAAGCGGCUUUUUGGCCUGCAACUGACACUGAGGCGCGAAAGCGUGGGGAGCAAACAGG